This 305-nucleotide ribosomal RNA is filed under the name uncultured bacterium. RNAcentral's name for it is "partial 16S ribosomal RNA". It matches the Rfam family "Bacterial small subunit ribosomal RNA", at positions 506 to 807 of the family's 1533-position model. The record is from RNAcentral.
ACAGCAGCAGCCACGGUAAUACAGAGGGUGCAAGCGUUAAUCGGAAUUACUGGGCGUAAAGCGCGCGUAGGUGGUUUGUUAAGUUGGAUGUGAAAUCCCCGGGCUCAACCUGGGAACUGCAUCCAAAACUGGCAAGCUAGAGUAUGGUAGAGGGUGGUGGAAUUUCCUGUGUAGCGGUGAAAUGCGUAGAUAUAGGAAGGAACACCAGUGGCGAAGGCGACCACCUGGACUGAUACUGACACUGAGGUGCGAAAGCGUGGGGAGCAAACAGGAUUAGAUACCCCAGUAGUCCCUGUCUCUUAUAC